Molecule: long non-coding RNA, 313 nt
Organism: Ictalurus punctatus (channel catfish)
Lineage: Eukaryota; Metazoa; Chordata; Actinopteri; Siluriformes; Ictaluridae
Source: Ensembl
CUCCUCAACCCGACGCAUUUAAUCAAGAAACGGCUAAAUGUGCUUUUAUGUUGAGUCUGCUUACAGGUCUUCCCACAGCUCUGGAGACUGCAGAGGCCCUGUUCAACCAGCUUUUAACAGUAUAUGGACUCCCAGACGAUACUUUUACUGACCAGGGACCACAGUUCACAUCACAGUCAUGAACAGCACCAGUGGAGCACCUUCCUGCCAUGGAGUAUGCACAGAACUCCAUUACACACUCAUCCACAGGACUAACCCCGUUUCAAUGUGUUCUGGGUUAUCAACCUCCAAUUUUCCCUUGGUCUAGAAAACC